CACAUGACUCUCGGCAACGGAUAUCUCGGCUCUUGCAUCGAUGAAGAACGUAGCAAAAUGCGAUACCUGGUGUGAAUUGCAGAAUCCCGUGAACCAUCGAGUUUUUGAACGCAAGUUGCGCCUGAGGCCUUUUGGCCGAGGGCACGUCUGCCUGGGCGUCACGC
This 164-nucleotide ribosomal RNA is filed under the name Chloris mossambicensis. Its description in RNAcentral is "5.8S ribosomal RNA". It matches the Rfam family "5.8S ribosomal RNA". Rfam says of the family: 5.8S ribosomal RNA (5.8S rRNA) is a component of the large subunit of the eukaryotic ribosome. Lineage: Eukaryota; Viridiplantae; Streptophyta; Magnoliopsida; Poales; Poaceae. The record is from RNAcentral.